CCUACGGGAGACAGCAGUGGGGAAUAUUGCGCAAUGGGCGAAAGCCUGACGCAGCGACGCCGCGUGAGUGAUGAAGGUCUUCGGAUCGUAAACCUCUGUCAGCAGGGAAGAACGGUCACUGUGCUAAUCAGCAGUGAAUUGACGGUACCUGCAAAGGAAGCACCGACUAACUCCGUGCCAGCAGCCGCGGUAAUACGGAGGGUGCGAGCGUUAAUCGGAAUGACUGGGCGUAAAGCGCUCGUAGGCGGUAUGUCAAGUCAAGGGUGAAAUCCCCGCGCUCAACGUGGGAACUGCCUUUGAAACUGGCAAACUGGAGUGUGAGAGAGGAUAGUAGAAUUCCAGGUGUAGGAGUGAAAUCCGUAGAUAUCUGGAGGAACAUCAGUGGCGAUGGCGACUAUCUGGCACAUAACUGACGCUGAGGAGCGAAAGCGUGGGUAGCAAACAGGAUUAGAUACCCCUGUAGUC
RNAcentral lists this ribosomal RNA (465 nucleotides) under uncultured bacterium. Its description in RNAcentral is "partial 16S ribosomal RNA". It matches the Rfam family "Bacterial small subunit ribosomal RNA", at positions 338 to 795 of the family's 1533-position model. The record is from RNAcentral.